Molecule: ribosomal RNA, 254 nt
Filed under: uncultured bacterium
Lineage: Bacteria
Description: partial 16S ribosomal RNA
Rfam family: Bacterial small subunit ribosomal RNA
Source: RNAcentral
CUUUCUUUGCUGGCGACCGGCGCACGGGUGAGUAACACGUAUCCAACCUGCCCUUUACUCGGGGAUAGCCUUUCGAAAGAAAGAUUAAUACCCGAUAGUAUAAUGAUUCCGCAUGGUUUCAUUAUUAAAGGAUUCCGGUAAAGGAUGGGGAUGCGUUCCAUUAGGUUGUUGGUGAGGUAACGGCUCACCAAGCCUUCGAUGGAUAGGGGUUCUGAGAGGAAGGCCCCCCACAUUGGAACUGAGACACGGUCCAA